Patella vulgata (common limpet) is the source of this 414-nucleotide long non-coding RNA. RefSeq lists it as uncharacterized. The transcript has 3 exons. The record is from RefSeq and is a predicted model, not a curated record. Lineage: Eukaryota; Metazoa; Mollusca; Gastropoda; Patellidae.
GUGAUGCACUGUUUAAACGUGACUAUUAAAUAACAAUAACAUCCUCUUAAGACCGACAUGCUGAAAAUUGUACGAUCACUGGAACUUCUCUAAGUGCAGGGCAGAAUACACGAAGCGAAAUCUCAAUACAGGACAAAAUGUCAAUGAUGUAAUUGGCGAAAUUAGAAAAUAGCAGAUUUGAAGAAAAUGUUUCAAGGUACUCAAAGAAAAAAGAAUUAGUAAAAUAGAUCAAAAAGUCACCAAGUUUUAGAUUUUGAAUAGGACAUAAUUGCUGUAUUAGCCGUAUUGAAAUGGAGUCAUUCUCAUGGAGUUUAUGGUGAUGAUAUCUUUCAUCAAGAUUUACUAGUUUAAAUCGAAUUAGACAGAAUCAUUGAGGAAAUACAAUGGCCCCCUAGAGAAAAAUCCAGCACAGAC